UACGUAGGGUGCGAGCGUUAAUCGGAAUUACUGGGCGUAAAGCGUGCGCAGGCGGUUUUGUAAGCCAGGUGUGAAAUCCCCGGGCUCAACCUGGGAAUGGCAUUUGGGACUGCAAGGCUGGAGUGCGGCAGAGGAGACUGGAAUUCCUGGUGUAGCAGUGAAAUGCGUAGAUAUCAGGAGGAAUACCGAUGCGAAGGCAGGUCUCUGGGCCGAUAUUGACGCUGAGGAGCGAAAGCGUGGGGAGCGAACAGG
RNAcentral lists this ribosomal RNA (252 nucleotides) under uncultured bacterium. RNAcentral describes it as "partial 16S ribosomal RNA". It matches the Rfam family "Bacterial small subunit ribosomal RNA", at positions 524 to 776 of the family's 1533-position model. The record is from RNAcentral.